RNAcentral lists this ribosomal RNA (236 nucleotides) under uncultured bacterium. RNAcentral's name for it is "partial 16S ribosomal RNA". It matches the Rfam family "Bacterial small subunit ribosomal RNA", at positions 118 to 353 of the family's 1533-position model. The record is from RNAcentral.
UGAGCAAUCUGCCCUUCUCUUUGGAAUAAGCGUUGGAAACGACGUCUAAUGCCGAAUACGACCUCCUUUCGCAUGAUCGGAGGUGGAAAGCUCCGGCGGAGAAGGAUGAGCUCGCGGCCUAUCAGCUAGUUGGUGUGGGUAAUGGCCCACCAAGGCGACGACGGGUAGCCGGCCUGAGAGGGUGACCGGCCACACUGGGACUGAGACACGGCCCAGACUCCGUACGGGAGGNAGCG